AGAUUGUUUUACAAAUUCCUAAUUGCAAGAAACACUUACAUGAAGAACUUAGUGAAGGCUGCUUCAAUGGGCCCUCUGAGAGAGGCACUUCCUCAGGGAUUUGAAAUCACAAAGCUGAAAAAGGAGGAUAUGAGGCCCGUAACAGUGAAGGUAAUUUACAGCACAUAGAGAAAAUUAAAGAACAGAACCUAUCUAGGAAUACAUAAAUCUCGCUGCACUGCCUCCUUGUACAGUUUAAAAAUGGAACUUUAAUACAUAAAUUGAGAGCGAAUCAAAUUAUUCAUUUGACAGUUUUAACCAUAUACCAUUGUCAGUCUGCUGUAAUCUGCUACAAAAUUACCACAGCCACAGCAAAAGCUACAAACAAAAAUGAUUUAAAAUUGCCUAUUACUUUCACUCCAGAGCUAGUUUACUCCUUUGUUAAAAUUGCCUAUUGCUUUCAUUCCAGAGCUAGUAAUUCAGAAAUGAAUCACCUACCAAAAGCUGGACAACCAAGCAAGUUUUCCUGUCCAUUUAUACUCUCCCCUGAACAACGACCCAUAUGUUGCUGCUGCAAGAGCCUGUAAACCUUGACAGGACAUUACAGUUAUUUUGAUGUUACAUAAAUCUCCAAAUUCUUCUCUGUUUAAUCUGAACAUAUAGUUGCGCCUACAUGACUGAGCACUACCCAAAACAAAGGAUAUCAUUAAAAAUGAGGAAAAAAAAAAACUACACUACUUACCUGUAAAGUAUUUAAACAUUCACCAAGAUGAAGUAAGGUUCAUCUAACGCCUUUCAGAAUCUAGAUAUUCAAAUCCUCAACUCUUUCCACAAUUGUCACAUAUUUUUUUGAAACAUUUUUCUUAGUGUGAAAAAUAUUUCAGUCAUAUAUCACAAUAAUUGUCACCUUAAUUCACCAGAUUCAGGACUGAAUCAACAAAUAAACUGUCAGGACAACUUUUUCCUUUCUCCAGGAACCGCGUGUAGGAAAAAAGACAGGGUAACCACUCCCAGAAGAAUUAAGCGUGAAUCACAA
RNAcentral lists this long non-coding RNA (1015 nucleotides) under Coffea arabica (coffee). RNAcentral describes it as "long non-coding RNA (CARA_LNC003645)". Lineage: Eukaryota; Viridiplantae; Streptophyta; Magnoliopsida; Gentianales; Rubiaceae. The record is from RNAcentral.